Molecule: ribosomal RNA, 622 nt
Filed under: uncultured bacterium
Lineage: Bacteria
Description: bacterial SSU rRNA
Rfam family: Bacterial small subunit ribosomal RNA
Source: RNAcentral
AGAGUUUGAUCCUGGCUCAGAACGAACGCUGGCGGCAGGCCUAACACAUGCAAGUCGAACGGACCCUUCGGGGUCAGUGGCGCACGGGUGAGUAUCGCGUGGGAACCUACCUUCCGGUGCGGGACAACCCGGGGAAACCCGGGCUAAUACCGCAUACGCCCGAGAGGGGAAAGAAUUUCGCCGGAGGAUGGGCCCGCGUCCGAUUAGCUAGUUGGUGGGGUAACGGCCUACCAAGGCUGCGAUCGGUAGCUGGUCUGAGAGGAUGAUCAGCCACACUGGGACUGAGACACGGCCCAGACUCCUACGGGAGGCAGCAGUGGGGAAUAUUGGACAAUGGGGGCAACCCUGAUCCAGCCAUGCCGCGUGAGCGAUGAAGGCCUUAGGGUUGUAAAGCUCUUUCACCGGUGACGAUGAUGACGGUAGCCGGAGAAGAAGCCCCGGCUAACUCCGUGCCAGCAGCCGCGGUAAUACGGAGGGGGCGAGCGUUGUUCGGAAUUACUGGGCGUAAAGGGCGCGUAGGCGGCGCGCCGCGUCAGGUGUGAAAGCCCCGGGCUCAACCUGGGAACUGCACUUGAUACGGGCGCGCUGGAAUUCGGCAGAGGGUGGUGGAAUUCCCAGUGUA